Molecule: ribosomal RNA, 467 nt
Filed under: uncultured bacterium
Lineage: Bacteria
Description: partial 16S ribosomal RNA
Rfam family: Bacterial small subunit ribosomal RNA
Source: RNAcentral
GACGAACGCUGGCGGCGUGCUUAACACAUGCAAGUCGAACGGAAAGGCCUCUUUCGGGGGGUACUCGAGUGGCGAACGGGUGAGUAACACGUGAGUAACCUGCCCUUGACUUUGGGAUAACUUCAGGAAACUGGGGCUAAUACCGGAUAGGAGCUCCUGCUGCAUGGUGGGGGUUGGAAAGUUUCGGCGGUUGGGGAUGGACUCGCGGCUUAUCAGCUUGUUGGUGGGGUAGUGUCUUACCAAGGCUUUGACGGGUAGCCGGCCUGAGAGGGUGACCGGCCACAUUGGGACUGAGAUACGGCCCAGACUCCUACGGGAGGCAGCAGUGGGGAAUAUUGCACAAUGGGUGGAAGCCUGAUGCAGCAACGCCGUGUGCGGGAUGACGGCCUUCGGGUUGUAAACCGCUUUCGCUCAUGACGAAGCUUUGUGUGACGGUAGUGGGUAAAGAAGCACCGGCUAACUACGUG